Sorex araneus (European shrew) is the source of this 683-nucleotide long non-coding RNA. RefSeq lists it as uncharacterized. The transcript has 6 exons. The record is from RefSeq and is a predicted model, not a curated record. Lineage: Eukaryota; Metazoa; Chordata; Mammalia; Eulipotyphla; Soricidae.
GCAGCAUCCAUGUUGAUCCAGAAGGAGACCCAGGACAAGAUGACGAUGAGUAGACUGGGAAUAUACAUCUGAAUCAGAUAGUAGCCCAUCUGACGUUCCAGAUGAAACUUUACCUCAAUGCAGGCUAGUUAUUUUAGCAAUGGCUGAUGGCUUCAGUAUGCUGUAUGAUUCAAUAUGCUGUAUGAUGCUGUGAUCUCCUACUGUUCCCUGGAUCCAUCUCACCUCACCCCACCCUGGUCUUCUUGGUCAGACUAGGCGAUUUAGAGGGGUUAUUCCUGGCUUUGCCUCAGGAAUUACUCCUGGCAGUGUUCGGAGGACUACAUGGGAUGCUGGGAAUCGAACCCAGGUCGGCCGCGUCCCAGGGAGGUAAUCCAGUUAUGCCCAAAAGCAGAGGUCGCUGAAAGCUUCAGCUCUACUCUUUAUGGAAGCCACCACCUGCUAUCUACUUACCAAGCCACCCUAAGUGAAAUUAUAACCCAGUCGCUGUGCUAAAUAGACUGGCUCAAUCUAUCUAUGAGUUCCUUAGCCUAGAGGCCAUCUGAAGAAAGACUGCUGACUGUGCUCUGAAGAUAUAGGCCAACUGCUGGCAGAUUCUCAGAGAAGAUUCCCUAGCCAAGAUGGCAGAUAGCUUGCUCCAUAGGAUCCUGGCUCUUGAUUGAGAUAUUAACCGCACCCUAUCCAAG